Molecule: ribosomal RNA, 1415 nt
Filed under: human gut metagenome
Description: bacterial SSU rRNA
Rfam family: Bacterial small subunit ribosomal RNA
Source: RNAcentral
AGAGUUUGAUCCUGGCUCAGGAUGAACGCUGGCGGCGUGCCUAAUACAUGCAAGUCGAACGAAACUUCUUUAUCACCGAGUGCUUGCACUCACCGAUAAAGAGUUGAGUGGCGAACGGGUGAGUAACACGUGGGCAACCUUCCCAAAAGAGGGGGAUAACACUUGGAAACAGGUGCUAAUACCGCAUAACCAUGGUUACCGCAUGGUAACUAUGUAAAAGGUGGCUAUGCUACCGCUUUUGGAUGGGCCCGCGGCGCAUUAGCUAGUUGGUGAGGUAAAGGCUUACCAAGGCAAUGAUGCGUAGCCGAACUGAGAGGUUGAUCGGCCACAUUGGGACUGAGACACGGCCCAAACUCCUACGGGAGGCUGCAGUGGGGAAUCUUCCGCAAUGGACGAAAGUCUGACGGAGCAACGCCGCGUGAGUGAUGACGGCCUUCGGGUCGUAAAACUCUGUUGUUGGAGAAGAAUGGUCGGCAGAGUAACUGUUGUCGGCGUGACGGUAUCCAACCAGAAAGCCACGGCUAACUACGUGCCAGCAGCCGCGGUAAUACGUAGGUGGCAAGCGUUAUCCGGAAUUAUUGGGCGUAAAGAGGGAGCAGGCGGCAGCAAGGGUCUGUGGUGAAAGACUGAAGCUUAACUUCAGUAAGCCAUAGAAACCGGGCAGCUAGAGUGCAGGAGAGGAUCGUGGAAUUCCAUGUGUAGCGGUGAAAUGCGUAGAUAUAUGGAGGAACACCAGUGGCGAAGGCGACGAUCUGGCCUGUAACUGACGCUCAGUCCCGAAAGCGUGGGGAGCAAAUAGGAUUAGAUACCCUAGUAGUCCACGCCGUAAACGAUGAGUACUAAGUGUUGGAAGUCAAAUUUCAGUGCUGCAGUUAACGCAGUAAGUACUCCGCCUGAGUAGUACGUUCGCAAGAAUGAAACUCAAAGGAAUUGACGGGGGCCCGCACAAGCGGUGGAGCAUGUGGUUUAAUUCGAAGCAACGCGAAGAACCUUACCAGGUCUUGACAUACUCAUAAAUGUUCCAGAGAUGGAAAGAUAGCUAUAUGAGAUACAGGUGGUGCAUGGUUGUCGUCAGCUCGUGUCGGGAGAUGUUGGGUUAAGUCCCGCAACGAGCGCAACCCUUAUUGUUAGUUGCCAGCAUUAAGUUGGGCACUCUAGCAAGACUGCCGGUGACAAACCGGAGGAAGGUGGGGAUGACGUCAAAUCAUCAUGCCCCUUAUGACCUGGGCUACACACGUGCUACAAUGGACGGUACAACGAGUCGCAAGACCGCGAGGUUUAGCAAAUCUCUUAAAGCCGUUCUCAGUUCGGAUUGUAGGCUGCAACCCGCCUCCAUGAAGUUGGAAUCGCUAGUAAUCGCGGAUCAGCAUGCCGCGGUGAAUACGUUCCCGGGCCUUGCACUCACCGCCCGUCAA